RNAcentral lists this ribosomal RNA (450 nucleotides) under uncultured bacterium. Its description in RNAcentral is "bacterial SSU rRNA". It matches the Rfam family "Bacterial small subunit ribosomal RNA", at positions 329 to 794 of the family's 1533-position model. The record is from RNAcentral.
UCCCAGACUCCUACGGGAGGCAGCAGUGGGGAAUAUUGGGCAAUGGGCGAAAGCCUGACCCAGCAACGCCGCGUGAAGGAAGAAGGCUUUCGGGCUGUAAACUUCUUUUGACAGGGAAGAGCAGAAGACGGUACCUGUCGAAUAAGCCCCGGCUAACUACGUGCCAGCAGCCGCGGUAAUACGUAGGGGGCAAGCGUUAUCCGGAUUUACUGGGUGUAAAGGGAGCGUAGACGGCAGUGCAAGUCCGGAGUGAAAGCCCGGGGCUCAACCCUGGGACUGCUCUGGAAACUGUAAAGCUGGAGUGCGGGAGGGGCAGGCGGAAUUCCUGGUGUAGCGGUGAAAUGCGUAGAUAUCAGGAGGAACACCGGCGGCGAAGGCGGCCUGCUGGACCGUAACUGACGUUGAGGCUCGAAAGCGUGGGGAGCAAACAGGAUUAGAUACCCCAGUAUC